GGAAGGAUCAUUACCGAGUUUGUUCGGGCGCGGCUGCCUCCCUCUGGGUUGAAGUUCGCCGCCCGCAUCUCCCACACCGUGCGUACGCAUGUCAUUACGUUUUAAGCACAAAGGACAAUGUGUCUAAUCAACCAAAGCAAACAAAGCAAAAACUUUCAACAACGGAUCUCUUGGUUCUGGCAUCGAUGAAGAACGCAGCGAAAUGCGAUAAGUAAUGUGAAUUGCAGAAUUCAGUGAAUCAUCGAAUCUUUGAACGCACAUUGCGCCCUCUGGCAUUCCGGAGGGCACACCUGUCCGAGCGCCGUCGCAACACUGAGGCCCAGCCUUGCGUUGGCGGCUCCGGCUUUUUCAGACAGAAAAAGCCGGCCGCCCAAACUUCGACGGCGCCGCACCGCGGCCGACGAUGCGCAAAAGCAGACGUCUGGCAGCGGGUGGUCGGCGGCCUUGUCACACAAGAACAGCUUGGCCUCGGAUCAGGUGGGGAUACCCGCUGAACUUAAGCAUAUCAAUAAGCGGAGGAAAAGAAACCAACAGGGAUUGCCUCAGUAACGGCGAGUGAAGCGGCAUCAGCUCAGAUUUGAAAUCCGGCCGCAAGGCCCGAGUUGUAAUCUGCAGAGGAACGUUCGGCAGAGGCGCCGGUCCAAGUCUCCUGGAACGGAGCGUCGCAGAGGGUGAGAGCCCCGUACGCGGCCGGCAGCCGACGCCGUGUGAACGUCCUUCGACGAGUCGAGUUGUUUGGGAAUGCAGCUCAAAGCGGGUGGUAAAUUCCAUCUAAGGCUAAAUACCGGCCAGAGACCGAUAGCGCACAAGUAGAGUGAUCGAAAGAUGAAAAGCACUUUGGAAAGAGAGUUAAACAGUACGUGAAAUUGUUGAAAGGGAAGCGCUCGCGACCAGACCCGAGCGAGGAUGCUCAGCCCGCCCCUCCGGCGGGCGCACUCUUCCUCGCCCGGGCCAGCAUCGGUUCGGGCGGCCGGACAAAGUCGAGGGGAACGUGGCCUCCUUCGGGAGGUGUUACAGCCCCUCGAACAAUACGGCCAGCCCGGACCGAGGACCGCGCAUCUGCCAGGAUGCUGGCGUAAUGGUCGCUAGCGGCCCGUCUUGAAACACGGACCAAGGAGUCUAACAUCCGUGCGAGUGUCAGGGUGUCAAACCCUCGCCGCGAAAUGAAAGUGAACGGAGGUGGGAGCUUCGGCGCACCAUCGACCGAUCUGGACGCUCUGCCGAAGGAUUUGAGUAAGAGCACGGCUGUUGGGACCCGAAAGAUGGUGAACUAUGCGUGAAUAGGGCGAAGCCAGAGGAAACUCUGGUGGAGGCUCGCAGCGGUUCUGACGUGCAAAUCGAUCGUCAAAUUUGCGUAUAGGGGCGAAAGACUUAUCGAACCAUCUAGUAGCUGGUUCCUGC
This 1401-nucleotide unclassified non-coding RNA is filed under the name uncultured Capnodiales. RNAcentral describes it as "sequence contains 18S rRNA gene, ITS1, 5.8S rRNA gene, ITS2, 28S rRNA gene". The stretch from base 464 to 1401 matches the Rfam family "Eukaryotic large subunit ribosomal RNA", at positions 1 to 961 of the family's 3401-position model. The record is from RNAcentral. Lineage: Eukaryota; Fungi; Ascomycota; Dothideomycetes; Capnodiales.